This 75-nucleotide transfer RNA is filed under the name Streptococcus pyogenes. RNAcentral describes it as "tRNA-Val(tac)". It matches the Rfam family "tRNA". Rfam says of the family: Transfer RNA (tRNA) molecules are approximately 80 nucleotides in length. Their secondary structure includes four short double-helical elements and three loops (D, anti-codon, and T loops). Lineage: Bacteria; Bacillati; Bacillota; Bacilli; Lactobacillales; Streptococcaceae. The record is from RNAcentral.
UGGGAGUUUAGCUCAGCUGGGAGAGCAUCUGCCUUACAAGCAGAGGGUCAGCGGUUCGAUCCCGUUACCUCCCAU